UGGAAGAAAAAGAAUUGCACUGGAAUUAUUUUUAAUGGGUCCAGACAAUUGGAAGCAUGAUCAUGGCGAACAUACUACGAGAGGAACUCAGUCAAGAUUAUUCAAAAUUAAACCAAGUCAGUUUAAGUCCAUUGGUUUUGAGUAGUCUACAUGAUUAUAGUUAUCAAAUCAUUAUAAGUUCUAGAAUGACUCCCCACCCACAAAUUAGUGAUAGCCCAC
This 219-nucleotide long non-coding RNA is filed under the name Elaeis guineensis (African oil palm). RNAcentral describes it as "long non-coding RNA (EGUI_LNC013300)". The record is from RNAcentral. Lineage: Eukaryota; Viridiplantae; Streptophyta; Magnoliopsida; Arecales; Arecaceae.